GGAUAACCUGCCCUAAGGAAAGGGAUAACCUCGGGAAACUGAGGAUAAUACCCUAUAGGAUACCGAUGCUGGAAUGCCCGGUAUCCCAAAGCUCCGGCGCCUUAGGAUGGAUCUGCGCCCGAUUAGGUCGUUGUUGGGGUAACGGCCCAACAAGCCGAUAAUCGGUACGGGUUGUGGGAGCAAGAGCCCGGAGUUGGAUUCUGAGACACGAAUCCAGGCCCUACGGGGCGCAGCAGGCGCGAAAACUUUACAAUGCGGGCAACCGUGAUAAGGGAACCUCGAGUGCCUGUACAUGCAGGCUGUCUGGGUGUCUAAAACACACCCAAAGAAAGGGCCGGGCAAGACCGGUGCCAGCCGCCGCGGUAAUACCGGCGGCUCGAGUGGUGGCCACUUUUAUUGGGCUUAAAGCGUUCGUAGCUGGGUUGUUAAGUCUCUUGGGAAAUCUGGCAGCUUAACUGUCAGGCGUCUAAGAGAUACUGGCAAUCUAGGAACCGGGGGAGGUGAGGGGUACUUCGGGGGUAGGAGUGAAAUCCUGUAAUCCUCGAGGGACCACCUGUGGCGAAGGCGCCUCACCAGAACGGCUUCGACAGUGGGGGACGAAAGCUGGGGGAGCAAACCGGAUUAGAUACCCGGGUAGUCCCAGCCGUAAACGAUGCGCGUUAGGUGUGUCGAUGACCACGAGUCAUCGAGGUGCCGAAGGGAAACCGUGAAACGCGCCGCCUGGGAAGUACGGUCGCAAGGCUGAAACU
Molecule: ribosomal RNA, 749 nt
Filed under: uncultured archaeon
Lineage: Archaea
Description: bacterial SSU rRNA
Rfam family: Archaeal small subunit ribosomal RNA
Source: RNAcentral